RNAcentral lists this ribosomal RNA (403 nucleotides) under Fusobacteriota bacterium. Its description in RNAcentral is "Fusobacteria bacterium partial 16S ribosomal RNA". It matches the Rfam family "Bacterial small subunit ribosomal RNA", at positions 355 to 776 of the family's 1533-position model. Lineage: Bacteria; Fusobacteriati; Fusobacteriota. The record is from RNAcentral.
UGGGGAAUCUUGCACAAUGGGGGAAACCCUGAUGCAGCGACGCCGCGUGAGCGAUGAAGGUUUUCGAAUCGUAAAGCUCUGUCCUAUGGGAAGAUAAUGACGGUACCAUGGGAGGAAGCCCCGGCUAACUACGUGCCAGCAGCCGCGGUAAUACGUAGGGGGCGAGCGUUGUCCGGAAUUACUGGGCGUAAAGGGUUCUCAGGCGGCAUGGCAAGUCCGAUGUAAAAGGCGAAGGCUCAACCUUCGUAAGCAUCGGAAACUGUCAAGCUUGAGUGAAGGAGAGGCAAGUGGAAUUCCUAGUGUAGCGGUGGAAUGCGUAGAUAUUAGGAGGAAUACCGGUGGCGAAGGCGACUUGCUGGACUUCAACUGACGCUGAGGAACGAAAGCGUGGGUAGCAAACAGG